ACUUUUCUAAAAAAACCGGAGAGCUUUCAGACUCUCUCUCUCGCAGCCUUCCAAUCCGGCCAAUAGGGCUGUCAUCGGCGCCGGCGACCGCCGCUGCCGUGUACGGCAGUAGGACACCCAAAGUUCGUCGCUUUUCGGUGAUUCCAGAGGUACACCUCUUUUUCUUCUUUUAUUUUUGUGUUAAAAAACAUAAUAAAAUAAAAAAAUAAAAAAACAAUCGGGGAAGACUCUAAAAAACAACUCCGAAAUUUUCAUUUUCUGUUUUCUUUUUUUCUUUUUGUUUUUUAAAAAUAUAAAAAAAUAACAAUGAAAAUAAAGAAAAAGGAAAGAUUGAAAUAAAAAACUAGGAAAUCACCUUAGUUUUUGCUUUUUUAUUUCUUAGUGUUCGUAAAAAGGAAGAAGAGUUAAACAAGCAUCUGAUUUUGGCUUUAUAGCCGAAAUACAAAACUAUUUUUCUCUAUAUUUUUCAUUGGCCAUUUUCUUUUCUGCCAUUUUGUCUUCUCUUUUUUGUUGUCUUCUUCUUGCGUGUUACAGAUGGUAGCAGACACGUGGGUAGCAGCGCUUGGCGAGCGGCGGCGGUGGCCAGGGGACGUGCAUGAGGCUGGCAGAGGCGGACCUAGCAUGUACCCAAAAUUAAUGGAGUAAUACCAUCAGUUGAUGAAGAGACAUCUGACCAUCAAAGGCUGCAUGAUAGGUUUGGCUUGAAUUUUUCCUUUAUAUAGCUAAUGGCAUCUUGGUCUAUUUUUUUAUUCUGUUACUUUGUGGCAAUUAACUUUAUCACCCUAGUUCUCCACUGGUUGUUGUUAGGGGGGCUUUGCACCUUAUUCCUUUUUUCUUUUUCAAAGUACAGUGAUAAAUUACUUGAUUCGGAGUUUUUUCUUGUAAAUUUGUAAAAUAUUUGAACUCUUGUAUUGGGAUCCAUUUUGGUAAAGUAGUUGCUCUUUUUUCCCUGGGAUCCAUUUUGGUAAAGUAAUUGCUGUUUUUUUCCCUUUUCUCAACCGUUUUUCAACGGUAUCUUUAGCCAAAAUAUUAUCUAAUUGAGUUGUUUUACCAAAAUGUAUCUCCACUUCUCCCUUUUCUUAAAAGAAAUACUUUUGCAGUAAUGUUAUUUGGUUAUAUUCUUCCUUCUUGUGAAUGUUUGAUUUUAAUAGCAUUUUAAAUUUAGGACUAAUUAUUUUAUCAUUCAGGUUGCAGUUGUAUGGUCUGGUUGAGAAUAAGGUUCAAGGUGAUGGUAACUGUCAGGUUGAUUUUUACUUUAUUUCUCUAAUAAAAAGAUACGUCAUAUGCACAAGCAUUUUUCUUCUGAAUUUGUGAGAUAUAGAUACUAACACAUUGGUUGGAAGCCGCAUUAAUUAGGCAUAAACACAUUGGACGAAGGUACUAUUGAAAAAGUUUUGUGCUAAUACCAUGAAUGUGUUGAGACACUUUACUGUUUAUAAUCUUCAUGGUAGUUCUAUAGUGUCUACAUAGUAUUAUUUCAGGAUGGUGGAAAUCAUGUCUUCUAGCAAUCACUUUACUGUUCACAAGUUAGUGGACAGUAUUCAAAUGCCAACAGUUUGACCCUGAAUUUGUACAGACUUCUAAAAUAAUGAAAAUGGGGAAACAUCAUUUUCGUUUGUCUUCCUCUGAUUCUAAAAUAAUGGGAAUGGGGAAGCAUCAUUUUAGGAAGAAUGUGAUGGGGAGAGUGAAGGCAAUGGGAGGCUUGAAGGUAACCAACUUGGCAUUUGGUGGAAACAAGAUGCUUGUAACCCGAAAGGAUCAGCAAGUUGUUGAGGUUUGACAAGGUUCAACCAGAGGGUUUUGAUCCUUUGGCUAGCUGUUGUAAUUAUAGGACUGUGUUGUAUCUUGUAAUUGUUUUAUGGCUAUUGAUUUGAUUCUUGGUGAUCGAAUUCAUUAUAUCAAACAACAGAUUUUUUAAUUAAAUAUUGAAUUAUUAACAAGAA
This is an RNA transcript of Gossypium raimondii (Peruvian cotton), 1943 nucleotides long. It is a transcript of the gene named OVARIAN TUMOR DOMAIN-containing deubiquitinating enzyme 9-like, with no coding region annotated. Lineage: Eukaryota; Viridiplantae; Streptophyta; Magnoliopsida; Malvales; Malvaceae. The transcript is spliced from 2 exons. The record is from RefSeq and is a predicted model, not a curated record.